This 497-nucleotide ribosomal RNA is filed under the name uncultured bacterium. RNAcentral describes it as "partial 16S ribosomal RNA". It matches the Rfam family "Bacterial small subunit ribosomal RNA", at positions 28 to 507 of the family's 1533-position model. The record is from RNAcentral.
GAUGAACGCUGGCGGCGUGCCUAAUACAUGCAAGUCGAGCGAACGGACGAGAAGCUUGCUUCUCUGAUGUUAGCGGCGGACGGGUGAGUAACACGUGGAUAACCUACCUAUAAGACUGGGAUAACUUCGGGAAACCGGAGCUAAUACCGGAUGAUAUUUUGAACCGCAUGGUUCAAAAGUGAAAGACGGUCUUGCUGUCACUUAUAGAUGGAUCCGCGCUGCAUUAGCUAGUUGGUAAGGUAACGGCUUACCAAGGCAACGAUGCAUAGCCGACCUGAGAGGGUGAUCGGCCACCCUGGAACUGAGACACGGUCCAGACUCCUACGGGAGGCAGCAGUAGGGAAUCUUCCGCAAUGGGCGAAAGCCUGACGGAGCAACGCCGCGUGAGUGAUGAAGGUCUUCGGAUCGUAAAACUCUGUUAUUAGGGUAGAACAUAUGUGUAAGUAACUGUGCACAUCUUGACGGUACCUAAUCAGAAAGCCACGGCUAACUACGUG